CCUACGGGAGGCAGCAGUGAGGAAUAUUGGUCAAUGGCCGGAAGGCUGAACCAGCCAUGCCGCGUGAAGGUCAGUGCCCUAUGGGCGUUAAACUUCUUUUGUGCGGGAGCAAUAAUGGUCACGUGUGGCCAGACGAGAGUACCGUACGAAUAAGCAUCGGCUAACUCCGUUCCAGCAGCCGCGGUAAUACGGGGGAUGCCAGCGUUAUCCGGAGUUAUUGGGUUUAAAGGGUGCGUAGGCUGUGAGGUAAGUCAGCGGUGAAAUGCCCCCGCUCAACGGGGUGAAGUGCCAUUGAUACUGCCUGGCUGGAAUGCGGAUGCCGUGGGAGGAAUGUGUGGUGUAGCGGUGAAAUGCAUAGAUAUCACACAGAACACCGAUUGCGAAGGCAUCUCACGAAGCCGCGAUUGACGCUGAUGCACGAAAGCGUGGGUAUCAAACAGGAUUAGAUACCCUUGUAGUC
RNAcentral lists this ribosomal RNA (460 nucleotides) under uncultured bacterium. RNAcentral describes it as "partial 16S ribosomal RNA". It matches the Rfam family "Bacterial small subunit ribosomal RNA", at positions 338 to 795 of the family's 1533-position model. The record is from RNAcentral.